This 433-nucleotide ribosomal RNA is filed under the name uncultured bacterium. Its description in RNAcentral is "partial 16S ribosomal RNA". It matches the Rfam family "Bacterial small subunit ribosomal RNA", at positions 29 to 507 of the family's 1533-position model. The record is from RNAcentral.
AACGAACGCUGGCGGCAUGCCUAACACAUGCAAGUCGAACGAGACCUUCGGGUCUAGUGGCGCACGGGUGCGUAACGCGUGGGAACCUGCCCUUAGGUUCGGAAUAACUCUCCGAAAGGGGUGCUAAUACCGGAUAAUGUCUUCGGACCAAAGAUUUAUCGCCUUUGGAUGGGCCCGCGUUGGAUUAGCUAGUUGGUAGGGUAAAAGCCUACCAAGGCGACGAUCCAUAGCUGGUCUGAGAGGAUGGUCAGCCACACUGGGACUGAGACACGGCCGGGACUCCUACGGGAGGCAGCAGUGGGGAAUAUUGGACAAUGGGCGGAAGGAUGAUCCAGCAAUGCCGCGAGAGUGAUGAAGGCCGUAGGGUUGUAAAGCUCUUUUACCCGGGAUGAUAAUGACAGUACCGGGAGAAUAAGCGCCGGCUAACUCCGUG